UAUGGCAGAUUAGUGCAAAGAAUUUAAAAUUCUUAUAUAAAGAAUCAUCUCUUCUUUUAUUAAAA
This 65-nucleotide transfer RNA is filed under the name Cardiocondyla sp. A242. RNAcentral's name for it is "transfer RNA-Leu". The record is from RNAcentral. Lineage: Eukaryota; Metazoa; Arthropoda; Insecta; Hymenoptera; Formicidae.